GAACAUUUACACAGUAAGUUCUUAGCAUUUGGUAUUUUGUUGGACAGAACAGAGAUGAGUUAUCAUAAGUUCCAUUCACUACCUCUUGAUCAGUUUUGCUUUAAUUCAGAAUCUAAAUAUUCAUUCUAUUGAAGAAACUAUGUCAUUCCAAAUAUAUGCAUCCAGCUUACAUUAUACAAUGAAAAAUUGACGAAGUACACUUCUUUUUCCUUGUGUCCUAUUGAAGAAACAAUGCCAUCAGUACCAAAUAUAAUCUUGCACAAAUGACAUGAUAAACUUCCACUUGAGAAUAUAAGAAUAUGAAGAAAAUAAAUAACAGCAGAAUGUAAAUUCUCUUGUAACAGCAAUGGUAUGAGAAUCUUAGCUAUUAAUUGAUUGUUCAGUCUUCAGUAUAAUCUGAAAGGAACAAAUAAAAGAGGUACGAGAAAAAUGAGAGGAAGAGAGGCACAUAUAAGAAUGUGGAAUUAUACAUCUAAAUGGAAUUGUGGAUACAGAAAUGACAAAAGAUGCCAUUGCUUCCCCCACUUGCUGGCAUAUUGUUCUUUUGAAUUAGACAACAAACUAAAGAAACUAGUUCUGCAUCAAUAUUCAGAACCUGUAAAUCUUUUGAUACUACUUCU
RNAcentral lists this unclassified non-coding RNA (620 nucleotides) under Hevea brasiliensis (rubber tree). Lineage: Eukaryota; Viridiplantae; Streptophyta; Magnoliopsida; Malpighiales; Euphorbiaceae. The record is from RNAcentral.